This is a non-coding RNA of Sus scrofa (pig), 6202 nucleotides long. Lineage: Eukaryota; Metazoa; Chordata; Mammalia; Artiodactyla; Suidae. The record is from RefSeq and is a predicted model, not a curated record.
GACACGCAGGGCCCGGGCUCGGGGCUGAGGGGCGGGCGGAGGCUGCGGCCCAACCAAGAGCGGCUCUCGCUCCGCGCUUUUUCCCGCGGGCCGCUGAUGGCCGGACGCGUCCUGGGGAAGACGUUAGCCACCGUGUCUCUCUCUGUGGCCUUGGCCUCUGUGACGCUCAAGUCCUUGGGCUGUUGCAGCCUCACGACGUGCAGGAAGACUGAGUGAGUGUGGGCUCCAUGUACCAGUGGACAUAGACAGGAAGGUUUCAGGUGAGCAGAAACUCGUUUUUAUCCUGUGGGUUUCAUCUUUGCUCCAACAUGAUGUCUGGCUCUAAUGGCACCAAAGAGAAUUCCCACAACAAGGCCAGGACAUCGCCUUACCCAGGCUCAAAAGUUCACCGCAGCCAGGUUCCUAAUGAGAAGGUAGGCUGGCUUGUCGAGUGGCAAGAUUAUAAUCCUGUGGAAUACACUGCAGUCUCUGUCUUGGCUGGACCUAGAUGGGCAGAUCCUCAGAUCAGUGAAAGCAACUUUUCUCCCAAGUUUAAUGAAAAAGAUGGACCUAUUGAGAGAAAGAGCCAAAAUGGCCUAUAUGAGGUUGAAAAUGGAAGACCUCGAAAUCCUGCAGGACGAACAGGACUGGUUGGUCGGGGGCUUUUGGGGCGAUGGGGCCCCAAUCAUGCUGCAGAUCCCAUCAUAACAAGGUGGAAAAGGGACAGAAGUGGAAAUAAAAUCGCCCACCCCGUUUCUGGGAAAAACAUCUUACAGUUUGUUGCAAUAAAAAGAAAAGACUGUGGAGAAUGGGCAAUCCCAGGGGGGAUGGUGGAUCCAGGAGAGAAAAUUAGUGCCACGUUGAAAAGAGAAUUUGUUGAGGAAGCUCUCAACUCAUUACAGAAGUCCAGUGCUGAGAAGAGAGAAUUAGAGAAACAGUUGCACAAACUCUUCAGCCAGGAACAUCUAGUGAUCUAUAAGGGAUAUGUUGAUGAUCCUCGAAACACUGAUAACGCAUGGAUGGAGACGGAGGCCGUGAACUACCACGAUGAAACAGGUGAGAUAAUGGAGAACCUUACCCUAGAAGCUGGAGAUGAUGCUGGAAAAGUGAAAUGGGUGGAUAUCAAUGAUAAACUCAAGCUUUAUGCUAGUCACUCUCAAUUCAUCAAACUUGUGGCUGAGAAACGAGAUGCACACUGGAGUGAGAACCCUGAAACUGACUGCCAAGAGUUAUAGUUCGCAAAUCUCCAUGUAAAUCAAAGGCCAGCAAGAGAGCACGUACUGAAAAGAAGGCAGUAUCACAGAACUCAUAUAUAAUUUUCAUUGGAACAUUUACAAAGUAUGCAAAAUGAUCAAACUGCUACACACUAGAGAUGGGUAGAAGUGGAUAAUCUUCUAACUCUGAAUACUGAUAAAUUGAACCAUCAACUGUCUUCUCUGCAGCAUAGAGCUUCACUUCUCCCAUUUCACCUUUAAUGGCCUGAUAGGAGCAUGUAAAGUGACAAACACUAAAUAAGCACUUUGGGGCAAUGAUACUUGUUAGAAGGGAAACUUGGGUGAAAUCCAAUUUCUUUCUCAAAAUUAAGAUUGAGAACAUUUUGAUUCAUCAGCUUCUCUCAGGUAGGUUAAAAAUAAAUGCAUACUGUAUGUAACUUUAAUUGCCAUUACUUCAGGUAUUGAAAAAAGGAAUUUACCUUUUUGGUUUGUGUGUCUCUCUCAUAUAUUUUAAAUGAAAGCAAACUUGGAUGAGAAUCAAAGUAGAAAUCUCAGGGUUUGUAGCCUCGCCAUCAAAAGAGCUCAUGCUUCUGUCUUAAGGAGAUUUUUUAACCUAAUACAGUUACUUAUGGGAACUGAAGUUUUGUCAAAUACUAUGGGCAUUGUGAAAAGAAUUCAUUUUUAAACCUGCAGAAAUUCUGAUAUACAAAUCUUAGAGGAAAUUAAGUUUAUACCUCAUGAGCUUUAAUUUGGGUAGAUCAACUGGGUUCCAUUCUGGCAUAUGCUUUUAUGGUUCAGAAGGAUUAUUCUUACCUUUUCUGAGAUUAAAUAUCACUUUUAUCAAUAUAAUCAUAGAAAAAAGUCUUAUCCCAAAGAAGCCCUAAAAAUAAAAAUAUUAAUAAGAUAUUAUCUUCAGUCCAUUAAGUAGAUUUAUAGUUUAUAAUAGCUGAAAAAUUAAUAUGGACUUACCCCAAGUUGGUUCAAAACAGAAAUGAUUAACUAUGAAGGAAGAAAAAAAUCAAUGAUAGUGACAUCAGUGGGUUUACUCUUUAGCUUAGUUUUUCUGUGUGUGUGUGUCUUUUUUGUCCUUUUUAGGGCCGCACCCGCGGCAUAUGGAGGUUCCCAGGCCAGGGGUCCAAUCGGAGCUGUUGCUGCCAGCCUACGCCACAGCCACAGCAACGCCAGAUCCGAGCUGCGUCUGUGACCUACACCACAGCUCAUGGCAACGCCAGAUCCUUAACCCACUGAGCGAGGCCAGGGAUUGAACCCGCAGUCUCACAGUUCCUAGUCGGGUUUUGUUUCCGCUGCGCCAUGACGGGAAUGCCAGCUUAUUUUUAACUUAGUACAUACAUUAGCUAAAAUAUUUUCAAUAUGAAAACCUUUGUUUUUAUUGAAAAAGCAAUUCCACUUUACUGCUUAGUAUUUUAUUUGCAUGACUUUAAAAUGAAUAUGAAAUAUCUAGAUUUAAAUUCCCUUAAUACACAGGAAUAUUUUCUUGUAACUGCCUGUAAUGGUACUCACCAUGCCUGAAAUAUAAAAAAAAAUUGAUGUGAAUGGUUAAGAAACUCGCUGUGUACGCUUCCACCCAAGUGCUGUCUUUCAUAAAUUUUGCGAAUUCCCUAUUUGAAUGAUACUUGAACCAAAAUUUUAGGACAGCUAUGAUUUUGUUUCGAGGGUUUGCUUGCAUAAGCAGUUUCACUGGAAAAGUAUUGCUUUGUAGCUUCCAUGUGGUCCUAUUUUUAGAGGCGGGCAGCUUGUUCAGAAUAUUGACCACUGUCAAAAAGAUGGAUCCCUCUAUUUUUCGAGCAGAGUCCAUCCCAGCAUAUGUGCAAGAAUAGGUAAGCUAAAGCUCUCACUGGUCUUAGGCAAGGACAUUGCCCCAAGAUAGCAUUUGUUCUCUUCGGAUGCCUUUUCCUAUUUCCCGACUUGCUUUAUUUUAUUUCUAAAUGAAUUGGACUAAUAGAGAUGGUCAUUUUUACGAUGAACUAGCUCAUCUUGUAAUAGGGUAUUGAAUGUAAUAUUUUUAUAAGCUUCAUAGAUUAACAAGGCAGAUGUAUUUACCGCUAUAAGAUCAUUAAGUGUCGGCACCUGGAAUAAAGGAAACACAAUCAAAUAAUCAAAGAGCUGUAAUUCAGUAUUUUAUCUAUCUUUUCUAUUUUAUACAUUUUAUAUCAGUUUGAUUAAUAAAAAGCAUGCUUUUUAGAAUUUUCAGCAUUUAUAAAAUUAGGUCAGUAAGAUUGACAUUCACUAAUACCUACCCCUUGGUACCCAUCCCCUCUUCAAACCUACUAUCACUGGAAACAUGUAAUCUGCAUUUUUCUUUCGUGGACUCCAAACACAGGAGCUUUUUGGAAAGAUCUUUAAACUUACACAUACAGGAUUGGAAAAAAGACUGUAUUUGGACAUCACUUCUUUUUAUUUUAUUUUAUUUUUUUUGUCUUUUGUCUUUUUAGGGAGACGCACCCGAGGCAUAUGGAGGUUCCCAGCUAGGGGUCCAGUCACAGCUGUAGCUGCCGGCCUAUACCACAGCCACAGCAAUGCCAGAUCCAAGCCUAGUCUGUGACCUACACCACAGCUCAUGGCAACACCGGAUCCUUAACCCACUGAGCAAGGCCAGGGAUCGAACCCAAAACCUCAUGGUUCCUAGUCGGAUUCGUUAACCACUGCCGCACGAUGGGAACUCCGGGUAUCACUUCUUUAGGAAAAAACUUUAAUAAUAUCACAUCCUAUAAUUGUAAUAGAAGUAUCAUUAAAAACUUGAAGUUAAUAUGCUACAUUAUAAUUUAUUUUUUGGUUUAUUUAUCUCUUCCUAUGUUAUUUUCCCUCAUUCAGUAAAAUCUUGUCAAAAUAAAAUUUAAAUCAUCCUUUGAUACCAUGACCAUAACCUUAAAUAUAGUUCAUAGGCUUCUGGGACAGAUUCCAUUUCGAUAAGAAUGCGUUUCCCCCUCACUAAUGGUAAAUGUAAGCAUAAAAUUUUAGAGGUGAAAUGGACUUUAUAAAUCAUUCAUUUUUACUUUUUUACAUUCUAAAAGAAAGUUAGGUAUAAAGGAUUUAAUGUAAGCUUCUACUCCAAGUUAAUGUGAAGAAAGUUAGGUAUAAGGGAGUUAAUGGAAGCUUCUACUCCAAGGAGUUAAUGUAAGCUUCUAUUCAGUGACAGAGCUUGCAUCUCCUGAUUAUUUGACUUCAAAUGUUUUUUCCUACUGAUCUCCUGGGUUCCCUCCACACAAUCAAGGAAAGUUUCAGGUUUUAGGUAGUUCAGUUUUCAAGGAUAUGCGACAUUUGUACCUUAAGUGAUUCAAAUAAGACAAAAUAAUGGUUCUCAUUAUUUUUGGUAAUAAUGAGAUAAUAAUUACUUUUGGUAUCAAAUUCCUUUCCAAAUCUAAAGAAUUUUCAAGUUUUGUCUUGUAUUCAUUUAAAUACUUUCUUACAGGAAACUUUGUAAUUACCUGAUUUGGAUUAUUGGGAAUUGGAAAAGGAAUAGGAAUUGUAAUCUGCAAAAAAGGGGAAAAAAGUGAACUGUGAAUAAUAAGCUUUUUUCUCAUUUAUUCAUGCCCUCAGCCAUCCAUUCACCCAUCCAUCCAGUAUUUAUUGAGCUAUUAUGUGUUCUCAGGGACUCCACUUUCUAGUUGGUGGAGAUGAGAUUCCAGUGGAUUUCAAAUAAUUUUUUUCUAAGAUGUAUUUUUCUUAUUUUGCUUAGUCAGUCGUUAAGUGCAACAAUCUCAUGUGUGUUGAUAGUUCUUGCAAAUCCUUCAGUUUCUCUGUAGUAGCUCAUUCUUUUGCCUGAUUUUUAGUACCAUUCUGCCAUCUGGUGGAAGGAAGAGAGAGCUUCUGUUUCAAAUACUAGUGAUUUUUUAAAUUGCCGCAUAGAUUUACAUAAUUUGAAACAUAAAGAUGUUAAUAGUGAUUCUUAAAUUCUAAUUAUAAACCAAGGCUCCAGGAUUUUGCAUUAAUGUAAAACAAGUCUUACUGGAUUUCAGCCGGAAAAAAAAAAAAAGGGCACCACCUAGCCCUGACUCAACCAAAAUGUUAGGAAGUAAUUAUAAAUGCAAGAGCAUAGAAAUUUAGUGUCUAAGGGUCAGUUAGUCCAUGUGAAAACAUUAAAGAGAAAGACUGUUCCACUGAGGACUGUAACUUUGGUGGCAAUUUCCAAAAGCCUACUUAAGGUUGAGAAAUAAGUAGUUCAAAACUAAAUAUAAGCAAAGGGAAAGUGUUUGUUACAUUUAGAUAAUAGAAAUAAUGCAAAAUUGUGUUAAUGUUUUUAAAAUAUUUAGGUGAUAGACAAGAAGUUAAACAAGAGGAUAUUUUAUUUUAUUUUAUUUUUUUUGUCUUUUUGCCAUUUCUUGGGCCACUCCUGCGCAUAUGGAGGUUCCCGGGCUAGGGGUUGAAUCGGAGCUGCAGCUGCCAGCCUACGCCAGAGCCACAGCAACAUGGGAUCCGAGCCGGGUCUGCGACCUACACCACAGCUCACGGCAACGCCGGAACCUUGACCCACUGAGCAAGGGCAGGGAUCGAACCCUCAAUCUCAUGGUUCCUAGUUGGAUUUGUUAACCACUGCGCCACGAUGGGAACUCCAAGAGGAUAUUUUAAAAUGUCUAUGAACCUUCCAAAACACCACUGCCUAAAUACUGUUUAUUUAACAUGUCCCAACCUGUGUUGCAGCCUGAUUGCCCUGGUCAUUCUUUCCCUGGAUUGCCCUGUCCUUCUCAGCCCUUGUUGUUCCCUCCGCCUGGAGUGCUCCCCCCGCACUACCUGGCUGGGACACCCUUCCUCUGUGAAUGAAGUCUUUGACACAUAGCCUGAGUCAGCUGGUUUUGUAUUUGCCUCUAGAAGCACUUAUCAAAUCGCAUCGUUUUUUCCUUUGUGAAUCUCUCUUCCUCAUCAGAUUCCUAAAUGUAUUCAUACUCUUUGGAUUUCCAGCAGUCACAAUAGAUCCCAUUACAUAGUCGAUACUCAGUGAAUAUUAACCAAAUGAAUUCUGUCUGUACUAAUAAAGGCAACUCUAUUAUGUA